Molecule: ribosomal RNA, 158 nt
Filed under: Fusarium solani
Lineage: Eukaryota; Fungi; Ascomycota; Sordariomycetes; Hypocreales; Nectriaceae
Description: 5.8S ribosomal RNA
Rfam family: 5.8S ribosomal RNA
About the family: 5.8S ribosomal RNA (5.8S rRNA) is a component of the large subunit of the eukaryotic ribosome. It is transcribed by RNA polymerase I as part of the 45S precursor that also contains 18S and 28S rRNA.
Source: RNAcentral
AAACUUUCAACAGCGGAUCUCUUGGCUCUGGCAUCGAUGAAGAACGCAGCGAAAUGCGAUAAGUAAUGUGAAUUGCAGAAUUCAGUGAAUCAUCGAAUCUUUGAACGCACAUUGCGCCCGCCAGUAUUCUGGCGGGCAUGCCUGUUCGAGCGUCAUUA